Molecule: long non-coding RNA, 2116 nt
Filed under: Ananas comosus (pineapple)
Lineage: Eukaryota; Viridiplantae; Streptophyta; Magnoliopsida; Poales; Bromeliaceae
Description: long non-coding RNA (ACOM_LNC021729)
Source: RNAcentral
CCAGAUUUGGGGACGGUGGUUCUGCCUGAGCUUAAUAGAUUGAGAGCACUCGGAGAGGAGAAUCUGCAGUUUUGUGUCAUGGGGAGUAGCUCAACUGCAACGUCCUUUAGUGGGCAGUUUUCCAUGCCGGUAAGUUUGAUAGAUUUGCACUAGAGGCAAUAACAAAGCAUAAAAAAAAAAAUUGUAAAUACACGAGUAACACUGCAGAUAUAUCAAAAUAUACCAAAAUGUAGUUGAAGAGCUGACUUUCUACACGUGGGAGUCAGCGAGUGGUUUAACUUUUCAGACUUGAUGUCCACGCUAAGCAUCAUGACUGAAAUUUUAAAAUCCGAAGCCUAACUAGCUGCCACGGUUGAGAAGUGGGCUCGUCAACUAUACUUUUGAGUAAUUUUAUGGGAUAUCCAGUUUCUUUUAUGAUUUUAUGCAAAGAAAAAUUGAAAGAUCUGAUACUUCAGUAUGUCUUCAGGAAGGGAAAAUCCUCUUCUAUUGAAACAUAAGUUGCUAGUUAAACAUCAAAUAACACUCAUACCCCAAAAUAUACUGUUAAACUACAUCGACAAUACAUAAGUUUUGGACGGUUCCAUAGGAUUUCCCAAUUCUGGACACUGCUGUGGCAGCUCUUCAGAUAAAUAAUCAGCACUUACGCUUGAUAGCUUCAUACUAUCUAAAAUUAUGGCAAUAGUAGUAUGGAACAACAUAUAAGAGAUCACUAGUGUCGGCACUGAAUCUUCUUAAUCAAUCUCUUACAGUACAUUGUAUUAUUCUUUAUAGAGAGGUAUAAAGAAUGAGCGACAUAUCGUAUUUAGUAAUUACUGAACAGUGAAUAUAAGGCAAGCAAGAGUAAUAUGUGCUACAUUCUACUUUUCUAUUUCAGGAUUUUAUGACUGACGCUAAUCCGACACAAUCUGGAUAUGAAAGCUCCAGAAGCCGAUCAAGUGCAUACUAUUCCUGACGGAUUGGGAGCAAAACCAAUUCAUGGUAUACGUUUUAUAUCCCAACUGUACCAAACUUUGCUAAUGCUUUGAGGUUGACAUAAUUUGCGGAAAGUAUUUUUAUUAAUAGCGGCUAUUUCAGGCAGCUUUGUUACCACAUCGGAAAAGAGAAUUCUACCUUAAAUCUGCUUUUCACGGCCGAAUAGAUGUGCUUCUCAGCUGUUGGUUCUUUUCGUAGAGGCAAUAUUGGCUUAAGCAUGCGGAGGAGGAACAAAACUACCGAACUUCUGAAGCAAUAAAACGGCGAAGAAAGUUUAAUACGACUAUAUUUUUUAUUGAUUGGACUAAAGCUUACAUGAAAAGCAGUUGUAUAUCACAAUUACACCAAAAGCUAUAGGCAAAGAAGUUCUUUCUGUACAAACAAAUUCUAAUUUAAAUCGGUUGUAAACAAUGACAAUAUCUCUCUCUUUAAAUGAAUUAUGAGAUUGACAGGUUAUAUAAAAUAUAUGGUAAGAGAUGUAUAACUCACUAGAACACACUAAGAAGGCAAGUUGCAUCCCUACAAAUACAAAUAACUUGGCACAAUACUACAAGAGUUUGUACUAAAUUGCAUUUACAAGCAAUCCUCUCAUAAUUCUAUGGCAUAUUUCAUCAAACACCUUGUGUGCAAGAAUAGCUAAAGAAACAACAACACACUGGAUAAGACGACCUCAGCAGGGUACUAUUGGAUGCUUUUAAACUCAAAUAAUCAAUAAAUAUAUUAGUAUUUUGACAAUCAAAUAUGCUAUUUCAUAGUUGAAAGUAAACUGCAUCAUUUACUGCCACUUUACUUCCGAUAAUAGGGCAUCGAAAUUGGCGAUCGGUAUCGUUAAAUACGAUUUACAGUAUUUGAACUUUACUAGAUAAAUAAUAUUAUAAAAUCACCGAAUUCAAUUUUUAGAAAGUUCAAAAUAAUCUAAAUUUAUUUAACAGUACCUACCAUCAAUUCGAAUGCCUGAUUACCGAAAAUGAGGAGAAAGUAAAUAUAAUGUUUACUUUGGAAAAAAAAAAAAAGAAGAGUAUUCUAACUUUACACCUACAUAAAUGCACAUGGUAAAACCACAAUACACAUUUUAUUUUAUUUUAAUAUUAUUUGGUGCUAAAUAUUACCUUAGUCCCUUCCAUUGGCUGUGAAAAGACGAUCC